GUUCACGGAUAUCGCAAGAGUGUGCUAAAUCUACGUUAACAGCGAAACGAAAUAGCCAACAGCCUGCUACAGGAACAAUAGGAAAGAAAAUAAUGCCGCAUAAUACUCUCCUCUUCAACAGUAUAACAGUACAGCAGCGAUAGUGUAGUCAUACUAAAGAUCCUAGUAUUACCGUGUUAUCGUGGUUGUCAGUGCGACGUUGUCAUAUUGCAGCUGUGUGAAAAUAAUGUAAACCGUGUAUAACGUUGGGAAAUGGUUUGAUCUUUGACUAAAAGGAAAUCGGAAAUACUCUCCAAAUCUUCAGUUCCCUGCAGGUACCAACUUGUAGAUGUAAAAGGAUUUGGAACUGUCGACCGCAUUACUACCAAUUGCAGAAUCAUCAUUUUACAGAAAUAUCCAACAAUCGCAGGACCCACGUAAUCCGCUUAAAUUUCUCAUGAUUCUGGAAAAAGGCCAGCGCUUAGUCAGACAUAUUGGGACUGCCGAAACAUUAUCAGUGCUGCGAGAAAUAAUCUUCUAUGUUACUUUCAAGAAAUUAAUACGUAUAUGACUUUGAAGUUUCAUCAACGAAUAGUACAAUUUAGGGUUAAUAUCGACGGUAUAACUAUGGGAGGACUUUGCAAAUAACUAUUCGACCUAAGGACUUCCUCUCGAAUGCUACUGACUAGAAGGAACUCUCGCUCGUACAUUAUUCUUUUACGCUGUGGUUCGCACCCCGGCCGGAAGUUCCAUUCUCAAUUACAAUAAGAGCCAGAAAUCGAGAUUUCAUCAGGCUGAAAUAGUUGGGCAAACUUUUAAGAGGCAGCCAAUUGCUCAAGGGGAAGCCAUAUCUUCCGCAAGUGGCAGUUACGUGGUUUCCGCAUCAGGGCUGUAUUCGAUCCUCGUCAUUUCUUAUAAAAAGAAAACUUUGUCUAUCAUCCCUUACGUAAUUCCCGGCAGCACCCUACAGACGCUAUUUUCGUAGGGUAGACGUUGCCGCAGAACUUUAUAGGAUUGACUGACGUAGUCGCUGGAACAAUUAGGAUGAUUAAUACUUUGGCAAAUAUUUUUUAGUCUAUGAUUCUUUUAAAAUUAAUACGAAUUUUUCUCUUUCCCGUAGCCUCGUGCCAACCGAGAAAGUAUCCGGGAAGAAUGGGGUAUACUCUUCCACCGGGAGAAAAUCUCACCGCCCUCGGAAGGGACAGACCUCGUUUUCUCGACGUCUCGAUUUCACGCGGCCAUUCAUCAGAAAGUCGCGCGACUAAAGGCCGAUAAAUUUUCAGAGGUGACAUUUAUUCGGCACGAGCACCAUUCGUCGCUAUUUCAAGAAUAAAGCUUUGGGUUACCUGCGACUUUUAUGAACUCCGCCUCGUUUUUCCGGGCCUGGAAAAUACUUGAUGUCUCCAAGGCGGUUAAGUUGGCAGCAAGGUACAUCCUGGAAGAGUGACUGAGUGCCAACCUCGCCUUGGCAAUAUUCUUAAUAAGACACAGCGUCACCUUGAAACUUCACCUUCUCUCACGAUAAAAGGAAACCAGAAGGUGACAGCUGCAGAGAAAAGGAGCAAGAAAGUCACUGGUUUAAACCGGAAGUGGAUUCUGGGACGUCUAAGGCACUCCAGCUCAAUGCUUUUCAAAUGGAAACUAAAGUCACGUGACCAUACUCGAAUUAAUAGUGACAGUCGUGGCAACACAAGGAUACAAAAAAAUUCAAUUUAACUUUCUUCAAGAAGAUAAUCCCUAGGAUUUCAAGAGAGCUCAAAGUUAUUGCUAACAGGGUUAUCUAUCUUUCAAUCGAUGAAUACUCUCGUUGGAUAAUAGAAAUUGGUCCUUGAGAUAAAAAAUUGAUGAAGUAAGAUAUCCUUGAUCCUAGUAGCUUUUUCGAACAGCGAACUGAGGCAUAGAGUUUAUCUUUCUUCUUGGUAUUAUCCUGAAACCGAACCUAGCAUAGCAUUAAACAAUUGAAUUUCAUGUGACACUUUUAAUGAUAAACGAUAAUGCAUAUAGUUAUUUAAAUAAGUAAUACCUAUAAGGAAUGAUUUAUUAUUGCUAAAAUCUAGUGUCUUAUUGGAUUGAGAUAGCAGGAAGGAUGGAACUCGAGUGUCAUAAAUAUUAGGAUUUAUAUCAUCAGAGUAUCCCUCGUAGACUAUAUUGUUAUUAUUACGACCAUCGUUCCUGGUUCUAUAUGAAUGACUAUAUAUUGUCACUCGAUAUAAAUGACGGCUUUAUAUAUUUAUAUUUUGAAAAUUAAGGAAAUUCUUCGAAGAAGCAAAACAGUAAGAUUGAAUUGAAGUAAAACGAAAUGCCAUAUACCGUGAACGUUUAGAAUUCGACUCACGUACUCUUUGAUAAAUUGUUAAAUAAUCCAUUUCCAGGGUACAUUUUUCUCGUUCUUCUUGUAGCAAAAUGGCGGUUCUCGAGGAAUUGCUCCGGGAAUUGCUAAGCGAAGUGGCACGUAGAGGCGUGCUUCCUUUUUUCCCCUGAAAUCAUGAAUCCUAAGAGGACGGUUGUCAAUAGGCACAAAAUCUUGAAUCGGCAGGUUUAAUUUCUUUUUUUCUUUUUUGCCCCAAUUUUACAUGUCGAAAAUUCGUCCUGCUGACGUAACUUGGAUAUCCACUGCGAAUCGUGGAUGAUUCUCUUAUUUCGAUACUGCUAUUUCACUAUUUAAUCCCGGAGGAUUAAUUAGGAUUUUUCUUUGUGCUUCUGACUGCCAUCCGAGGCGUCCUUCAGUUUGACUUUGUAUUUGCAAAAAAGAAAUAAGCAUUGAAAGGAAGAAGUUAAACCGGAGAGAAGCUGGAUAUCUGAAAAAAUUCUUUUGGCGGAUGAAUUGAGAAAUUUUUUUUUUAAAUAUAGUUUGAUCUCGCUACAGAUUUCCAUCAUUCAAAUGCCAAGCUGCGAUCAGUUACCUUUUUUUACCUUUUUUAAAAGUAACCACGGCAUUUCAUACCGUGCUUUCCACUACAGUGAAUUAUUGACAGCUGUAUUUAUGGAUGUAAGAGCUUUUUUGAUUUUCGAUAACCGCACAACAUAUUUUUCAUAUAGUUCGCAGUUUAAAGAUGUCUGCAAGUACUCGAAGGUUCUUUCGCUUAAAGAGUCUCUUCGCGCUAACUUUUCUUAAAAUUUAUCAUCAGACACUGCCAGUGACGAUAUUAUCCUUGAAUCUUUCUCUUGUAUUAUUCUUCGUCUCGCUUGACUUCACUUUUAUCUUCGAUUUCUCAAGCAAUCGUACCCAGUCUGCGUUUCCAUUGAUUUCAUGAAAAUUUAUUCGGCAAAUUAGGCUACCGACGAAACUUCCGUAAAAUUCUGACAAUCAUAGAUAUUUAUAUAGGAGGACGCUAUAUUGUCUAAUGGGAAUAUUUCCCGAAUUUGGAUCUUUGGUUAGCUGUUUCUUAAAAGCUCAAUAAAUUCCUCGUUACAGCAAGAGCCACUUGCUCGAUAAGGCCUGUUAUCGUUAUCGCUAUCGUCAUCGUUAUCACCCUACAAUAAAUGUUGAAUUUAGCACAUAAUUAUACCAUUAGAAAUUUCCAAAAAAAAUUCCCCUUAACCCUGGUC
Molecule: long non-coding RNA, 3528 nt
Organism: Cephus cinctus (wheat stem sawfly)
Lineage: Eukaryota; Metazoa; Arthropoda; Insecta; Hymenoptera; Cephidae
Exons: 5
Source: RefSeq, a predicted model, not a curated record